AGUUGUGAUUUUUGUUUCUCUCUGUUUAUCUAUUUCUUUGGUUUGAUUCUAUGCUUUGGAUUUGUUGUUUGCUUGCUUUAACUUGAUUUAUUGGUUUCUUGGUUUUUGGGAAGAGAGAUAACAGUUGUCCGAAGCCUAUUUGCUCCAUUUGUAGGCAAUCUGAUCCGUUUUGUUGUUUGGUUGUUUGUUUUGGGCUUUUGGUCAUGACUGUGUUAAUAAAAAAUUGCUUUUUUGGCAGCGUUACAAUUCUUUUCCAUUGCGAGAUUAUCUUUUAAUGUUUAUGGUUGUUUUAUUCUAAUUGAGAUAUUUGUUUGCUUGCUUGUUAUUAUAUGGACAUUGGUUAUUAGUUAUGAAUUUCGAUCUCUAGGUGAAAAUCUUGUGUUUAUGCUUGAUGUAAAUAAAAGGCUCUUGAAGACGUUCACAUAUGCAGGGUCUUUCUUUGUGCAUGAUUUUGUCAUACAUCUUGCGUAAUCUGUCUUAUGGACUGUAGGAUGGGAUGAUUUAUCUGCAAAGACCAAUGAAUUAUGAUUCCUGAUGCAUUCUGUAUAAGCUACAUCUAAUUCUAUGAUUUGAUAUGUGCUUGGCAUGAAUAUUUUCAAAAUACGAUCAAAUUGUUUGAUUUAAGUAGGACAUGAGUUGUAGUUUUGAGUUUCAACUUUUUUCUGUGGCUUACCCAUUGUACAUUAGAGAUAAAUGAAAUUCUCUAUAUCAAACUGUAUUUACCUUGUCAUCUUCGUGAUACUAUGCAAGUCUAAAGGAACCCUAGACAUAUAGGCUUGCUCAUGAGCUAUUAAACUUAAAGUAUAUAAGAGGUUGCAGUACCACCAUUUGACUUUUGAGGUUACAUCUCAACCCUCUCUC
RNAcentral lists this long non-coding RNA (861 nucleotides) under Phoenix dactylifera (date palm). RNAcentral's name for it is "long non-coding RNA (PDAC_LNC008145)". Lineage: Eukaryota; Viridiplantae; Streptophyta; Magnoliopsida; Arecales; Arecaceae. The record is from RNAcentral.